This 552-nucleotide ribosomal RNA is filed under the name Triticum aestivum (bread wheat). RNAcentral's name for it is "partial small subunit ribosomal RNA". The record is from RNAcentral. Lineage: Eukaryota; Viridiplantae; Streptophyta; Magnoliopsida; Poales; Poaceae.
AUGGCCGGAGCUGCGACGGGCCAUCGGCGCUGCGUUGGAGCACUGCGAGCCGGUGUCACGGCCGGAAUGGAGCACCGCCGUGUCAGUGAUGCAACAUCGCCGGCCUUCGUAGGUGGAGCUGCAAUGGAGCACCGUCGUGCCGAUGUUACUGUUGCAAUGAAUCAUGGCCGGAGCUUUGGCGGGCCGCCGACCCUGCAUUGGAGCACCGCGCGGCGGUGCGCCGGUGCUUCAUUGGAGCACCACGUCCACGCAUCGGUAUCGCGGCUGCAAUGGAGCACAACCGAAGCUGCAAUGGAGCACCGCGCCGGUGUCGCGGCUGCAAUGGAGCAGGAGCACCGCCGCGCCGGAGUUGGCAUUGCAAUGGGGCAUUGCUGUGCGGCCGCCGUUGCUGCCAAACGCCUAGCUGAACCGACGGGGGGUGUGUCUGCUGUCGUCGCUUUCCUACAGCUAGAGGAAGAUCAGAUGAGUGAUGCGUUGACGAAUCAACGACUACAGGGGGUCGGAUCCAACGGCUGGGGACCGACUGAUUUCCCUAGAAAAUCAGCCGAAUGA